UCUCUCUCGAGGCGACCAAACCCACGAGUCCACGACAUGCCGCAGUCCCACACUGUUGCCAGAGAAAAGGAACCCACCGCUCGGCGCUCUCUUUUUCCCCCACCUGUUCCUAACUCUCCUGCCUUCCUCCCCCGACCACGGCAUGCUCCACAGCCACGACCCCUCUGAUCCUCCACCCAUCCAACCUCCACGCUGAUGGUCGAGUAGUUCUUCAACGCGGAUUCUCCUCACCAGCGCGGACCGCCCCCUCCACUUUAUGCUCGCCUCCCUGACACGGCCCGCCCGUCCGCGUAUGGAUGGACGCGGAGGAGAUCGGCGGGGGACCGCGCGGUGGAGAUGCAGGGACUCGCCAUGGAUCCUGCCCCGAAUCCCGCCUCCAACCGCGCGCCACCGGCCGUCCCCUUCCUCCCUACGAAUCCAUUAUUUCAGAUCCGUUCUUGCUUAUUUUUUCUGGAGUCUCUUGAUUUGUUUUGUUGAAAUAAAGAUUUACCAAGAUGCAAGUCCUUCCCCGAAGCUUUUUUAUUUGGUAUGAAUCCAUCAUCCAGAUCAUAAUUGUUCUGGCUUCAGACGGAUCCAAUUUGUUUCCUGUGCUAGUUUAUUUCCUAUGCCUAAUUUGUGGCCUACGGUUUAGCACUAGCACUUUAGCAGUACAUGGAUUUGCUUCACGUCCUUUUCGGCUCGCCCAGCCCCUGAUCCCGCUCCUGUCAGUCCCUCGGCUCGCCCAGCCCCUGGAUCCCGCUCCUGUCAGAUCCGGCGCUGUAGCUCGCGCCAAGGUUGCUGGCGCUGCAGCUCGCGCCAUGGCCACCAGUGAUCCAUCCUGCAGCUCGGAAGGAAGGCACGAGCGGAGCUUCUUCCCCAGUCUGUCCACCCUUUUUUCAAGAUUUUUUUUCACUUCGUGAUCUUCCUUUUCUUUUUCGAUCUGCUUCUGCACGAAUUUUCUUGGAUGCACAGAGGUAGGGAGCCAUCAAUUUGUGUUUUUCACGAGUCAAUGAUUUGAUUUUCAUCUCUGUGGAAUCUGCACAGGAUCCAUUUUUAUUUGUCAGAACAAUAUUCUUUUCUUUCUCACGGGCGAGGGAGGCCUGGUUGCAAGAUGCAAGAUCUGUAAUUGGGCACGUGGAUUUGAGGUUGGUUUUUCUUGUUACUUCCGUCCGCUGAACUCAUUUAAUUGAAGAUUCCCAUUUACAAUCUGCCAUCCAAACACAUUAAUCGGAGUAAUUUGAUUGUAUAUUCGAAAUUUGUUCCCAGACUUUCUGUUUUGAACAUGUACUUUUGGUGAAUGUCAUAUCAAAUUGCAAUUUGAGAUUUGUUCAUUAAUAUGUAUUUUUGAGUGGAUGUCAGAUCGAAGUCCAGAAGAAGGAUUUGCAUAUCUGGAUGCUCGAUCUGGAAUUUCCUUUGGAAGCUAUAGUGAAUCUGCUACCAUGCUGGAUGGGGUUCAAAGUGCCAUAAGGGGCUGAUCCAAAAAAUUUGUGUACAUGUACUUUGUCAUGUCAAAUUGCAAAGAAUUGUUUACAGAUUUGCACUUUUUUUUAGUUUUCUUGUGUACCCAGUAUGCACGGCAACCAGGCAAGCAACCAUACACUAGAGAUUCUUUUGGUCCCAAAUUUUUGUAUUCAGAUUUGUUCAUAAAUAUGUAUUUCUGGAUGGAUAUCAGAUGAAUGUGCAGAAGGAGUGUUUUCCAAUCUGUUCUA
This is a long non-coding RNA of Lolium perenne, 1688 nucleotides long. RefSeq lists it as uncharacterized. The record is from RefSeq and is a predicted model, not a curated record. Lineage: Eukaryota; Viridiplantae; Streptophyta; Magnoliopsida; Poales; Poaceae.